Molecule: ribosomal RNA, 603 nt
Filed under: Bougainvilliidae sp. bth.15.98
Lineage: Eukaryota; Metazoa; Cnidaria; Hydrozoa; Anthoathecata; Bougainvilliidae
Description: partial large subunit ribosomal RNA
Rfam family: Bacterial large subunit ribosomal RNA
Source: RNAcentral
CGACUGUUUACCAAAAACAUAGCCCUUGAACUAAUCAAAGGUGUAACCUGCCCAAUGAUUUUUAAAUAAACUAGAAUAAAAUUCUCGAAACAAAAUUUAAAGGACGCAGUAUCCUGACUGUGAUAAUGUAGCAUAAUCACUCGCCAUUUAAUUGGUGGAUAGUAUGAACGGUUGAACGAAUAUUACACUGUCUCCUCCGAAAGAUUCCUAAAAUUAAAAUAAUAGUAAAGAUGCUAUUUAAAACUGUAAGACGAAAAGACCCUAUAGAGCUUAACUAUAUUCUAUAUUAAAAACAAAAGACUUAAAAAUCUAAACACAUAUAGAAUGGUAGUUUAGUUGGGGCGACUAUCUUCUAAAUAAAACGAAGACAAGCAAUGUUAACAAAUUAACUUAUUGUAUAAUCAAUAUAUUUAACAAUUAUAAUAAUAGGCUAUAAUGACCCAUUAACAUUAAAUAAAAAAGUUAAUGAUCAAUAAAUAAAAGCUACCUUAGGGAUAACAGGAUAAUUUAGUUAUAGAGAUCAUAUCGAAAACUAAGUUUGUCACCUCUAUGUUGAAUUAAGAUAUCCUAAUAAUGCAGAAGUUAUUAAAGGUAGGUCUGUUC